GUGGGGAAUAUUGCGCAAUGGGCGAAAGCCUGACGCAGCGACGCCGCGUGAGGGAUGAAGGCCUUCGGGUCGUAAACCUCUUUCAGCAGGGAAGAAGCGAAAGUGACGGUACCUGCAGAAGAAGCACCGGCUAACUACGUGCCAGCAGCCGCGGUAAUACGUAGGGUGCAAGCGUUGUCCGGAAUUAUUGGGCGUAAAGAGCUCGUAGGCGGUCUGUCGCGUCUGCUGUGAAAACUCAGGGCUUAACCCUGAGCUUGCAGUGGGUACGGGCAGACUAGAGUGCGGUAGGGGAGACUGGAAUUCCUGGUGUAGCGGUGAAAUGCGCAGAUAUCAGGAGGAACACCGGUGGCGAAGGCGGGUCUCUGGGCCGUAACUGACGCUGAGGAGCGAAAGCAUGGGGAGCGAACAGGAUUAGAAACCCGAGUAGUCC
RNAcentral lists this ribosomal RNA (430 nucleotides) under uncultured bacterium. RNAcentral's name for it is "bacterial SSU rRNA". It matches the Rfam family "Bacterial small subunit ribosomal RNA", at positions 354 to 796 of the family's 1533-position model. The record is from RNAcentral.